GAUGAACGCUGGCGGCGUGCCUAAUACAUGCAAGUCGAGCGAACGGACGAGAAGCUUGCUUCUCUGAUGUUAGCGGCGGACGGGUGAGUAACACGUGAUAACCUACCUAUAAGACUGGGAUAACUUCGGGAAACCGGAGCUAAUACCGGAUGAUAUUUUGAACCGCAUGGUUCAAAAGUGAAAGACGGUCUUGCUGUCACUUAUAGAUGGAUCCGCGCUGCAUUAGCUAGUUGGUAAGGUAACGGCUUACCAAGGCAACGAUGCAUAGCCGACCUGAGAGGGUGAUCGGCCACACUGGAACUGAGACACGGUCCAGACUCCUACGGGAGGCAGCAGUAGGGAAUCUUCCGCAAUGGGCGAAAGCCUGACGGAGCAACGCCGCGUGAGUGAUGAAGGUCUUCGGAUCGUAAAACUCUGUUAUUAGGGAAGAACAUAUGUGUAAGUAACUGUGCACAUCUUGACGGUACCUAAUCAGAAAGCCACGGCUAACUACGUG
Molecule: ribosomal RNA, 496 nt
Filed under: uncultured bacterium
Lineage: Bacteria
Description: partial 16S ribosomal RNA
Rfam family: Bacterial small subunit ribosomal RNA
Source: RNAcentral